GUGGUUUAAUUCGAUGCAACGCGAAAAACCUUACCUACCCUUGACAUGUCAAGAAUUUUGCAGAGAUGUGAAAGUGCUCGAAAGAGAGCUUGAACACAGGUGCUGCAUGGCCGUCGUCAGCUCGUGUCGUGAGAUGUUGGGUUAAGUCCCGCAACGAGCGCAACCCUUGUCAUUAGUUGCUACGAAAGGGCACUCUAAUGAGACUGCCGGUGACAAACCGGAGGAAGGUGGGGAUGACGUCAGGUCCUCAUGGCCCUUAUGGGUAGGGCUACACACGUCAUACAAUGGCCGGUACAGAGGGUUGCCAACCCGCGAGGGGGAGCUAAUCCCAGAAAACCGGUCGUAGUCCGGAUCGUAGUCUGCAACUCGACUGCGUGAAGUCGGAAUCGCUAGUAAUCGCGGAUCAGCUUGCCGCGGUGAAUACGUUCCCGGGUG
This 435-nucleotide ribosomal RNA is filed under the name uncultured bacterium. Its description in RNAcentral is "bacterial SSU rRNA". It matches the Rfam family "Bacterial small subunit ribosomal RNA", at positions 941 to 1378 of the family's 1533-position model. The record is from RNAcentral.